This 305-nucleotide ribosomal RNA is filed under the name uncultured bacterium. RNAcentral's name for it is "bacterial SSU rRNA". It matches the Rfam family "Bacterial small subunit ribosomal RNA", at positions 336 to 638 of the family's 1533-position model. The record is from RNAcentral.
UUCCUACGGGAGGCAGCAGUGAGGAAUAUUGGUCAAUGGGCUUACGCCUGAACCAGCCAAGUCGCGUGAGGGAAGACUGCCCUAUGGGUUGUAAACCUCUUUUGUCAGGGAGCAACGCCGGCUACGUGUAGCCGGACUGAGAGUACCUGAAGAAAAAGCAUCGGCUAACUCCGUGCCAGCAGCCGCGGUAAUACGGAGGAUGCGAGCGUUAUCCGGAUUUAUUGGGUUUAAAGGGUGCGUAGGCGGAAGGUUAAGUCAGCGGUCAAAUGUCGGUGCUCAACACCGGCCUGCCGUUGAAACUGGUC